This 433-nucleotide ribosomal RNA is filed under the name uncultured Lachnospiraceae bacterium. RNAcentral describes it as "bacterial SSU rRNA". It matches the Rfam family "Bacterial small subunit ribosomal RNA", at positions 341 to 792 of the family's 1533-position model. The record is from RNAcentral. Lineage: Bacteria; Bacillati; Bacillota; Clostridia; Lachnospirales; Lachnospiraceae.
ACGGGAGGCAGCAGUGGGGAAUAUUGGACAAUGGGGGGAACCCUGAUCCAGCGACGCCGCGUGAGUGAAGAAGUAUUUCGGUAUGUAAAGCUCUAUCAGCAGGGAAGAAAAUGACGGUACCUGACUAAGAAGCCCCGGCUAACUACGUGCCAGCAGCCGCGGUAAUACGUAGGGGGCAAGCGUUAUCCGGAUUUACUGGGUGUAAGGGAGCGUAGACGGCAAUGCAAGUCUGAAGUGAAAUCCCGCGGCUCAACUGCGGAGCUGCUUUGGAAACUGCAUAGCUGGAGUGUCGGAGAGGUGAGUGGAAUUCCCAGUGUAGCGGUGAAAUGCGUAGAUAUUGGGAGGAACACCGGAGGCGAAGGCGGCUCACUGGACGAUAACUGACGUUGAGGCUCGAAAGCGUGGGGAGCAAACAGGAUUAGAUACCCUGGUA